Molecule: ribosomal RNA, 245 nt
Filed under: uncultured Litorilinea sp.
Lineage: Bacteria; Bacillati; Chloroflexota; Caldilineae; Caldilineales; Caldilineaceae
Description: partial 16S ribosomal RNA
Rfam family: Bacterial small subunit ribosomal RNA
Source: RNAcentral
AACGUAGGAGGCGAGCGUUAUCCGGAUUUACUGGGCGUAAAGCGCACGCAGGCGGUUCCGUUAGUCGGACGUGAAAGCUCCUGGCUUAACUGGGAGAGGCCGUUCGAUACUGCGGGACUUGAGGUUGGGAGAGGGGUGUGGAAUUCCCGGUGUAGUGGUGGAAUGCGUAGAUAUCGGGAGGAACACCUGUGGCGAAAGCGGCACCCUGGCCCACACCUGACGCUGAGGUGCGAAAGCGUGGGUAG